This 253-nucleotide ribosomal RNA is filed under the name uncultured bacterium. RNAcentral describes it as "partial 16S ribosomal RNA". It matches the Rfam family "Bacterial small subunit ribosomal RNA", at positions 524 to 776 of the family's 1533-position model. The record is from RNAcentral.
GACAGAGGGUGCAAACGUUGUUCGGAAUUACUGGGCGUAAAGCGUAUGUAGGCGGCCAUGUAAGUCGGAUGUGAAAGCCCCAGGCUCAACCUGGGAAGUGCACUCGAUACUGCGUGGCUUGAGUAUCGGAGAGGUUGGUGGAAUUCUCGGUGUAGAGGUGAAAUUCGUAGAUAUCGAGAGGAACACCGGUGGCGAAGGCGGCCAACUGGACGAAUACUGACGCUGAGACACGAAAGCGUGGGGAGCAAACAGG